This 504-nucleotide ribosomal RNA is filed under the name uncultured bacterium. RNAcentral describes it as "partial 16S ribosomal RNA". It matches the Rfam family "Bacterial small subunit ribosomal RNA", at positions 28 to 506 of the family's 1533-position model. The record is from RNAcentral.
GACGAACGCUGGCGGCGUGCCUAAUACAUGCAAGUAGAACGCACAGUUUAUACCGUAGCUUGCUACACCAUAGACUGUGAGUUGCGAACGGGUGAGUAACGCGUAGGUAACCUGCCUGGUAGCGGGGGAUAACUAUUGGAAACGAUAGCUAAUACCGCAUAAUAUUAAUUAUUGCAUGAUAAUUAAUUGAAAGGUGCAAUUGCACCACUACCAGAUGGACCUGCGUUGUAUUAGCUAGUAGGUGAGGUAACGGCUCACCUAGGCGACGGUACAUAGCCGACCUGAGAGGGUGAUCGGCCACACUGGGACUGAGACACGGCCCAGACUCCUACGGGAGGCAGCAGUAGGGAAUCUUCGGCAAUGGACGAAAGUCUGACCGAGCAACGCCGCGUGAGUGAAGAAGGUUUUCGGAUCGUAAAGCUCUGUUGUAAGAGAAGAACGGGUGUGAGAGUGGAAAGUUCACACUGUGACGGUAUCUUACCAGAAAGGGACGGCUAACUACGU